UACGUAGGGGGCAAGCGUUGUCCGGAUUUAUUGGGCGUAAAGAGCGUGUAGGCGGCCAGAUAGGUCUGUUGUGAAAACUCGAGGCUCAACCUCGAGACGCCGAUGGAAACCAUCUGGCUAGAGUCCGGAAGAGGAGAGUGGAAUUCCUGGUGUAGCGGUGAAAUGCGCAGAUAUCAGGAAGAACACCCGUGGCUAAGGCGGCUCUCUAGUACGGUACUGACGCUGAGACGCGAAAGCGUGGGUAGCAAACGGG
Molecule: ribosomal RNA, 253 nt
Filed under: uncultured bacterium
Lineage: Bacteria
Description: partial 16S ribosomal RNA
Rfam family: Bacterial small subunit ribosomal RNA
Source: RNAcentral